This 707-nucleotide long non-coding RNA is filed under the name Olea europaea (common olive). RNAcentral describes it as "long non-coding RNA (OEUR_LNC013316)". The record is from RNAcentral. Lineage: Eukaryota; Viridiplantae; Streptophyta; Magnoliopsida; Lamiales; Oleaceae.
UAAGGGGCAUUUCAGUAUUUUCACAUAUCAGUCCCCUUGUCUAUCCCCAGGCCCCUCUCGUAUCUCGUCUCUUUAUUUUCCUUGCACACGCAAAAACGCACACACAAAUAGACAAGGGAGAAGGAAAAAUUAUCGCCCUAAUUCGACUCGACUCGACUCUUCGCCCAAUUAAUUUGUUUAUCGAAAUAAAAUAUUUUGUAUUCUAUUUCAUAUUGUGUUUUUUGGUUACUUAAAUCUUAUUUUUGUUUGUGUUGUGAUGAAAUUAGGGUUUCGUAUCUCCACACCUUCGUCGUAGUGUGUGGGUUUUUUAAUUGAAGUUCCUACGCUGCGAAUCGUGUCGUAUCGUAUCGUAAUCUGUGAGUAUAAACUCAAAUGUUAUUUCUUUGUUGUUUCAUUUAUUAUUCUUUUGAUUUGGUUUUCCAUUUAUGCGUAGAAUUGUUGAAAAAAAAUAAAAUAAAUCAUUUUUUACAAAAAAUAGAAUUCGCUUGGGAUUAUUGUGUGUAAUAAAGUUAUUUUCUGGGUUAAAUUUUUGACACGGAGAAUGCCCAUCUUUCUUUUAGCAAGCUGUAUCCUUUCUCUGCUUUUGGGAUUAGAGUGGUGUUCUUGAAGCCUAGUGAAAUUAUCUCUGGCUGAUGGGUUGACAGAUCAUCUAAAUUUUGGGGUGGUGAUUAGAAAAAUAAUUGCAAUUUUUUGGGCGAAGAGGGGGG